AGCUUGCUCCUCUGACGUUAGCGGCGGACGGGUGAGUAACACGUGGAUAACCUACCUAUAAGACUGGGAUAACUUCGGGAAACCGGAGCUAAUACCGGAUAAUAUAUUGAACCGCAUGGUUCAAUAGUGAAAGACGGUUUUGCUGUCACUUAUAGAUGGAUCCGCGCCGCAUUAGCUAGUUGGUAAGGUAACGGCUUACCAAGGCAACGAUGCGUAGCCGACCUGAGAGGGUGAUCGGCCACACUGGAACUGAGACACGGUCCAGACUCCUACGGGAGGCAGCAGUAGGGAAUCUUCCGCAAUGGGCGAAAGCCUGACGGAGCAACGCCGCGUGAGUGAUGAAGGUCUUCGGAUCGUAAAACUCUGUUAUUAGGGAAGAACAAAUAUGUAAGUAACUAUGCACGUCUUGACGGUACCUAAUCAGAAAGCCACGGCUAACUACGUGCCAGCAGCCGCGGUAAUACGUAGGUGGCAAGCGUUAUCCGGAAUUAUUGGGCGUAAAGCGCGCGUAGGCGGUUUUUUAAGUCUGAUGUGAAAGCCCACGGCUCAACCGUGGAGGGUCAUUGGAAACUGGAAAACUUGAGUGCAGAAGAGGAAAGUGGAAUUCCAUGUGUAGCGGUGAAAUGCGCAGAGAUAUGGAGGAACACCAGUGGCGAAGGCGACUUUCUGGUCUGUAACUGACGCUGAUGUGCGAAAGCGUGGGGAUCAAACAGGAUUAGAUACCCUGGUAGUCCACGCCGUAAACGAUGAGUGCUAAGUGUUAGGGGGUUUCCGCCCCUUAGUGCUGCAGCUAACGCAUUAAGCACUCCGCCUGGGGAGUACGACCGCAAGGUUG
Molecule: ribosomal RNA, 835 nt
Filed under: uncultured Staphylococcus sp.
Lineage: Bacteria; Bacillati; Bacillota; Bacilli; Caryophanales; Staphylococcaceae
Description: bacterial SSU rRNA
Rfam family: Bacterial small subunit ribosomal RNA
Source: RNAcentral